RNAcentral lists this long non-coding RNA (28728 nucleotides) under Manihot esculenta (cassava). RNAcentral describes it as "long non-coding RNA (MESC_LNC006841)". The record is from RNAcentral. Lineage: Eukaryota; Viridiplantae; Streptophyta; Magnoliopsida; Malpighiales; Euphorbiaceae.
CAGAAAUUCCAGUUCCUUGGAUAUGCAGACAAUCUUAUUGCAGGAAGUGCUUGAAUAAUAACAUAUUUAAUCAAUUUUACAUCUUUCAGAGGUUUGACCAAUUUUAUGCUCUAAUUAUGACGUGGAAAGGGGAAAAAUUAUUUUAUCUGGAAAUGCUGCUAAAUGAAUCCUCCUAGGAAACAAGCAGGUAUGAUCUCAUGGAUUAAUUUACCGAUCAACUGAUUCUAUUUCAUACUUAAAUAGAGCAAACAUUAAUUUCUCUAUAAAAUUGAGUGGUCUCUCCAGGUUAUAAUGUCUUGGGAUUGGUGGGUCUACUGCAAAUUUUAUUGUUGUAUUACUGUUUUAAUAGUUAAACAACUGUUUUGCUCAAAAAGCUAAAUGGGAAAAAAUCAUCCCUCAUUUGAAGAAAACGUUUAAGAUUUGCCCUAUGGAAAUCACAUUGUUUGCUUUGAAAUCCUAAUCUCAUAAUCAACAAAUCAAGAAAAACAAAAAUUCCCAGAUAUUUGGAUAAACAAGUCAAACCCUAAUAAUAAAAACAUACAUGAAUACUAAAAUCUCCAAUAUAAUAAUAACUCCAAUAUCAUUUCAUAAGAGCUUAGCAUUAAGAGAAUCAGAAAAUAAAAACAAAAACACAAGUUUCAGAACUUAUGUAUGCUUGAGCCAUGAACAUCUCAAUCCUAGCUACCUGUGAUUGCCAAAGGAUCCAUAGUUGCCCAAAUGAUUAUUAUAUCAAACAUGUGAUACAACUUCAAGGGUCAUGAUUUCUCAUUAUGAUCUUCAUCUCCUUCAUCAUCACCGUUGAUCUCGCUGCUGCUGUGAUUAUAGUUUGCCAUCAUCAUAGCUUCAUGUGGGAAUUGCAGAGGAAGCCAUGGAUAAGUUGUGGUGAAAGAGAAUUCAGUGAAGGAGAGAUUGCUGAGUUUUUAAGGAAUAAAGAUUUGGAUUGUGGAGAAGGGAUCUUCCUAAGCAUAUGCUUAUAUGCUUGAAGCAUUAACUUGCUGGCCCUUUUUUUUUUAAACUUUUAGUUGUUUUAUUAUUAUUAUUAUUGAGACAAAGGUGGGUUGCUAAUAAAACUAAAGUAGGAUGCCAUGCAUUGCAUUUCAAGCAGGUUUCUAUCACAUUUUGCCAUGUCACUCAAAUUUUGGAGAAUUUAUUCCAUGUAAUCCUGGUAUGUUAUCAUUGGUGAGAUAUAUAAAACUUACCAGGAUCAAUUUUUAUUGUAUUAUAAAUUUUUUAAUAAUUUGAACAAAUGAGUUCAAUAAGAAAAAUAAAAUACUAGUUUUAAAUUACAAAAAAUAGCACUCAAGACUUAAUCUGAUGAUAAAUGUAUCUGAAUAAAUUUGAGAGUUCUCAAAUUAUACUCCCAAUCCCCAAUAUUCCAUUUAAAAAAAACAAAAAAAAUCACAAAGAAAUAAUGGAUCAACGUAUUGUAGUAUCAACUCCACUAAUAAAAAUUCAUUCCUUACAGUUGAAGAUUCUGAGCCUCCAAUCAACAGCAAUGAAUGAUGUCUUAAUACUUUGGACUUUCAAAAGCCCUAUAAAGAAAGCCCGCUAAGGUAGAGAAAUAACAUUCUAAGAAUGGAGAAGUAUGAUGAAAAAUUAUUACAUAUAAUGUCUUAAAAUAUUAAUUAUUAACUAUAAUAAAAUUUCUCAUAAUUAAUUAUUAUAAUAAAUAUGUAAAAUUUCUCCUUGAUAUUAGAAAACAAAUCUCAAGAUUAAAUGGAGAUUUAAGGAGAUAAACUUAGAUAUAUUCUAAUAAUACACAAAUCUAGGAAUUUAUCACAGAAAAUUUGAAAAAUAAAAAAGAGAUUUAAAGGAGGAAAAAGAAAAUGAGACUAGAUGCACUGACAAAACAUGUUGUAAAAUUUUUUUGGUGAUCAAGGUUGGGUUCUCUUUCUUUAUUAUUAAAUACCUAUGAAUGAAAAAAGAAAAGUUGAGACUAUAUUAAGUACUUAUAUUAUAUUAAUAAAUAAAUACCAUUUAUUAUGAGUAUUUUAAAUUUUAACUAAUGUAGUCAAAUACUUUUUAAAUGCAUAAUUAAUAUUGAAUUAAAUUUUGUGUGUUUCAUGAAAAAUAUUUUAUAAAAAAUUAUUUUUAUAUUUUUAAUUUUAGUAUAUUCAAUAAAAUUAAUAAAUAAAAAAUAUUUCAAAGUUAAAAAAAAUGAUGAAUUUCUCAUUCGAAAAGAGAAAGUUGCACUUUGAGAAUCUUAUUAACAUUUCGAUAUAUAAAAUUUUAAAUUAAAUUUAAAUAAUAAUAAUAAAUAAUUUUUUAAAAAAUAUUUUAUAUAAAAAUUAUUUUAAAAAAAAUAUUUUAUUAAAAAUUAUUUUAUAAAAAAAUAUUUUAUUAAAAAAAUAUUAUACUUAAAAUAUUUUCGAAAUAUAAAUUGUUUUUUACUAAUAAACUGACCCUUAGGUUUUGUUUGAAUGGAGCAAGUUGAUUAACAAAGUAAUAUUUUCAGAAAAUAUUGAAACUCUCUUUGUUUGGUUUAAUUAUCAAAUUAAUUUAUUGAAUCAACUUUCUAAAUAAUCUAUCUAAAAGAAAUAUGGUAAGUUAGACGUGACUAGGUAAAUAUAAUAUAAUUUUGGCCUAAUGGUUUCAAAAGUUAAACUUUUUCAUUUUUUUAGAUUCAAUUUAAUUUUUAUAAUUUUAGCGAAAUAUCCCAAAUUUUCAAAAUAUUUGAAAGUCUUAUAUAAUUUUUUAAAUUGAAUUUGAAAAAAUUUGACAUGGCAAUCUAAAUAAAUUAUUUUAAUAUUAUAUUAUGGUUCACACGUGAUAUAUAAUCAAAAAAUAACUAAUUAUAAAAAAUCUAAAAUUUUCUUUUUAUCGAUGUACUAUUUAUAAAAUCUAUAAAGUUAAAAGUCCAUGAGAAGAAUACCUAUUGAAUUAAAAAUCAAUCAAAACAAAAGUUCACACAAAAAAUCUAAUAAAAUUAAAUUAAACAAAUCAAUUUUAAAAAAAAAUCAAAUCAGAUACUGACAUCUAGAUAAAAUAGGUUUAUAAUAGUUGAGUAACCUUGCCUUGAGAGGAAAGUGUUUCUCUCAUUUUAUUAUUUUCUUUUAUCUGUUAGUGACGUCCAACGGCCUUACUGCUAUUGGGCCACCUGUCUUUAUCAUAUGGAUACGUAUAAAAGCGUCAGACGUCUGCUUCAUGUUAAACUGCCAUUUAAUUUUUCCCCUGACAUGUGUGUAAACAGAUCUAUUAGGUGGAUGAGCCGGUUAUCCCCUCUCCUAUUAAGUCUCAUGACCGAGCUGGGGUGAACAGACUGAGGCCCAAGGGAGGCCCGAUCUCAAAGCCAAAUGGUCUGGACCGGCUCAUUUAAAAGGUUUCAUGAACCUUAGAUUAGAGCUGUCAUCAUGGGUCUGACCUCGUAUUUGGGUGGUGAAACCCGGCGGUUAUCAAACACCAAUCAAAAACCCAAACCAGCAUCAAUUAAACGAACCAAAUCCAAUGCAAAAGAUAGCUAUAACUGCUAUGCCACCGAUUUGCACUACAACCACUGAAAUGCACAAUACAAAACCAGAGCAACCAAUUGAACCCAACACAGCAAACGGAGAAACUAUUAUUCGAAAUAGAAAACGAAAUACCAUUCGAAAUAAAAAAAGAAAUACCAUUAAUAAUAACAUACUGGGAUGGAGAUAUAGCAUAAUUUAUCUGAAAAUUAUCAAAAGAGAGCUAUAGUCAUCGAAUAAAUUGGUAUGAUUUUGAAGUUGUCGAUCUCAUAUAUCAAAAUUUACUCCAAAAGCUAUAAUCUAAAAAAACUUUCAAAACAAGUCUAUCAUACAACGUUUUUUUUACAUACAGUAAAGAUCUGAAAUAUAAAUAAAAAACCACAUAAAAGAAAAGAGUAAAAGUAAUUGACACCAUCUCGGUGAGGAAAGAAAUUGAGAGGGAUGAGACUAUUUCAAUUUUUUCAAUUUUAAAAAAUUUCUAAAAUUUUAUAUAAUUUUAAACUCAGUACCCUUUAAUAAUGAAACACAAGAAAAAAAGGGAAAUUUAUAUUGUUUAUGAAAAAUAUGAGAAAUCAUAAUACAUAAAAAAAAUAUUUGUUGUAAAUCGAAUCCAACAUAAACACUAAUCAAAUGAAUUAUAUGAGUUUUAAGAGUGGGAAUGGGAAGAAUAAGAAGAAAUUGAGAUGGAAAAUGUGGCAUAAAAAGAAUAAUUACUAUUAAGUUUUUUUAUUUUUUAGUUUUCUUAAUCAAAGUUAAAAUAAAUUAAUUAGUAUUUUUAUAUAAAAAAAUGUAGAAAUAAGACAACGGAUUAUAAAAAGACUCUUAAGGAUUACGUAUCUAUCUGUUAUCUCAAUCAUAUUUCAUAUGCUAUGUGCCUUUACACCCUUAAAUGCAUGUGGGAUAUAACAGAUAAAGACAACUUUACUCCUUUUUUUUAAAAAAAAAUUUUAGCAUACAGCCCAUACACAUGGCCUAAUCUGAUUACUUUAAUUAUAUUUGUUUUUUAAUUAACGGAGAGAUGAUUUAGUUGAUAUUAUUAUUAUUAUUAUUUUUAAAUUAUAGGUGGGGAGUGGUCUCAAAUAAAUAAAUUAAUAUUUUUCCAUAACAAAAAUAUUUUUCAAAAUUUUUUAAAAGAAAUUAAUUAAUAAAAAAUAUUUUCUUAAUAAUUUUUGAAGUUUAAAAUGGCUUUUAGUUUGUUUUAGUGAUUUUAAUUAAAUUUAAAAUUAAUUUUAAAUAUUAAAAAUAUUAAUUAAAUUAAAAUUUAAAUCGAAUGGUUUUUAAAACCUUUUCAUUAAUUGUUAAUCUUAAAUCUGCGAUUGUAGUUGAACUAAGAGCAAAUUGAAAUCAUUGAAUCACAAUUAGUAUGAACAAAGACCUAAAAUGAAGAUGAGUUGGAUUAUUAGUAAAAUUUUCGAUAUUUGAUUUAAUAAAAAUUCUUUAUGAGUAUUUAUUUUUAUUAAAAUAAAUUAAAUAUAAAUUUAAUUUGUAGAUUUAUUUAUAAAUGAGUUUAAAUUUAAAUUUAUUAAUAAUCAAUUUAAUGUUUAUGAGUAUGAAAAAUUUCAGAUUUUAUUCUUUAAUUUUUUUUAUUUUUUAUUUUUUAUUUUUUAAUAAAAAAAUUUUAUUAUGCAAGAUUUUAUUUAUUUUUUUAAAAAAUAAAAAUUUAAUUAAUUUAAAAUUUAAAAUUAAAUUUAUUUAGCACUCAUAAAUUUAAAAUUUAAUAUAAUAAUAAGUCCAUCUAAAUAGAUUUAAAAAAUUUCGAUUCUAUCUCAUUAAUUUUUAAUUCUCAAUUAAAAAAAAUUUUUAUUUAAUUUUAAAGAAAAGUGUAACUUAUUUCCAAAAAUAAAUUGAGUUUGGUCGUUAACUAGCGAAAACACUAUUAUAUAAAAAUUGACUUAGGCUCAACUCGUUUCACAAGUUUAUUAGAAAAAAAAAAAGAAAAUUAAGAAUCCUUAGUGUUCAAAUUUCAGCUCUCUGAUCUAAUAUCUCCAUGGCCUUUCAAUUCUAAGCUCUUUGGAGAUCUCUCUCUCCAACCUUGACUCUCUUUCUCUCUAUUCCCGGAACUGGUUCCUUUUUUCUACUCGUCGAUUAUUCGAUGGCUGCUCCACCUGCGAGGGCUCGAGCCGAUUACGAUUACCUCAUAAAGCUUCUCUUGAUCGGCGACAGCGGUAAGCGAUCUCAUCGAUGUUCAUUUCCUUCUCCUUUUAUCCGCAAGAAUAUGGAUCGUUUUCUGUUGUAGUUGUGUUUUUUCCCCCUUUUUUUGUGUUAAAUCUCUCUUCAACGAUCUGAUUUCUUGAAGGAUUUGAUUUGUUAUGGCAUAUUUCUUUAGCAUUAUGAGAUUUGUGUUAGGUGCAUUGAUUUGCAUUUUCAUGCAUCAUGAGGAUGGUAAUUUUGAUUUUAUAGGUAUUUUACAAUGGUGAAAUUUGUUUUCUUGCCAAUCAGGUCUCCAAAAUGUUUUCGGCUUAGAAGUUCGUUUUUUGUUUGAAAUAAUGCUAUUUAAGCUUUCUCUGUAGCUAUCAUCUGCAAAUUUCCCCCUAUUUAUUUGUAGUUACUAGAGCUGAGGUAGUGGGGAUAGAUAGAGGUAAUGAAUCUGAUCGAAAUUAUGGAAUAUUAGAAACUUUUUUCUUUUAGUUUUUUCAUUUUUCUAGAGAAAUAUAAUUUGAGAUAUUUUUAUCAAUAUUUUGCUGAAAGAUGAGAGCAAGGAUGUAUUUAGCUAUUUUUAACCUGUGAUGUUUUCUUUAGGACUCCCUGCUUUGCUGGAUGUAUUUCAUGAUUUCUUUUUUCAUUUGAGUCUGUGCUGGGAUAUUAGAAGUGCUUCUUUUAUAUUAGGGUAAAUUACAUUUUAUACCGAUCUAUAAUUCUUUUUUAGGGUAAAUUGAAGGUUAUUCCAUCCAUAAUUCUUUUAAUCAAUCGGUCAAAAGGAGAAUAAACAUCUUAAAUAUCUAAAAUACACUCAUGAACACUUAAAUCCUUUCAAUAUAAGUGAAAAAUUUUAUAUUGUUUAAGCUACACUUUAGUCCCUAAGUUUAAUAUAAUUGACGGAUCAGUCUUUAUAUUUUUAAAGCUAAAUUCUUAAAUCUCUUCAUAUUUAAUCUGUCUAAAAUUAGAGUUUUACAUCCAUUAUAGACAUUAGUUCAAAAUUAUUGGAUGGUCUGAAAGUAGAAUUUUUUCAUAAAAUACUCUUUAUAAAAGUUUACAAUCUAUACUUACUCUUUAUAAAAGUUUACGAUCUAUACUUAAAGGUUAUUUAGUACCACUUAAAAAUAGCUGAAAUUGUAAGUAUUUUCUCAAAGUUUUGAAAUUAUAAGUAUUCAAGUAUUUUAAUGAACGAAAAUUAAAGAAUAAAAAUUGUUAAAAAUUAGUUAAAUGAGAUAUUAUAAAGAAAAAUUAAUGGGAUUUAAUUGUUCUUUUAAAUAAAAAAUGAAGGAUCAAAAUGUUUAAAUUAUAAUAGAUGAUGAUAAAUUGAUUAUAUAGGGAUUUAAAUGUAUAAUUUUAAAGAUAUCUAUUAAUUAUACUAAAACUUAAGGAUUCAAAUGUAGUUUAUCUAUUCAAAAAGGGUAACAAAGGCAUUUCUACACUUUAAAUGGAUGGAGGGACCUCUAAUUUGGACGGACUAAUUAUAGAGAGAUUUAAGUGUUUGAUUUUAAAAAUAUAAGGACCGAUCCAUUAAUUAUGCUAAAAUUCAAGGACUAAAGUGUAAUUUACGCUUUAUAUUAUAUAAUGUUCUUUGAGCUAGCAAAUAGCUCUUGUAAUUAUAUGUGCAAUGAUGCUUCGAUUUGAAAGUGAAUAGAAUUUUUGUUAUAGAACAUUGAAUGCCCUUGAGACUCAAGAUUUGAGGAUAUCGUGCUUCCAACAUGAAUCUUUGGGUUAUAUCUGGUAAUUGAGGUCUGCAGUUCCAAUUCCGGUUAAGCAUGGUUCUCAAUUCUUCAGUUCCACUUCAUUCAAUACGGUUCCGUUUCUCGGUUCUUAAAAUAAAUUUAUGCAAAAUUUUCAUGAAAGUUUAUGCUUGAAUUACCAUUUAAGUUUUAAAGUUAGUUAUUAAUGCAAAUUAUAUUAUAUAUAUAAUAUACAUUUAAGCUAUUUGCAUAUAUACAAAAUUAACCUUGAAAAUAAUAAUAUAAGUAUAUUAUUUAAUCAGAAAAUUACUUUUUCGUCCUCGAGGUAUAGCAUAAUUAUGAAAUUUGUCAUUUUAUUUUUAGAACUCAAGCCUUCAGUUCCUGAAAUUUGAUUUUGUCCAAAUUCAAAGUCUCUCUGUCAAAAAAUUCUGUUAAGUAAAUGAUCUAGGCCUAAUUAAAGGAAAGAGAGUAAAAUAUAAUCCCAAAAAUAUUCUUAUCCUCCUUUUCUCUUCUGCCCUUUCUCUUCUCCCUAUCCUUUCCCUUCUUUCUCUCAAGCCGAUUUCUCUCCUCCCUUCUCCUGUGGUUGGUGCCGACUCAUCACUGUCCUCCUCGUCAUUGCCACCACCGAAGGAGAAGCCUUCCUCAUUGCUAAGAAGAAUCACCCAUCGUCAAAAAGAAGCACCCGUCAUCGUUUCCAUUGCCUUCAUCGUAGCUGCCGCGAAGAAGCCCUCAUCAUCGUUGCUGCUCUUGUCAUCGCCUUCUCGAAGAAGCACUCCUCCUCGUCUUGCUGCCUUAGUCGAAGCCGUGAAGCCUCAUCAUCUUGCUGCCUUCGUCGAACCUGCGGAGCCUCAUCGUCGCUGCUUGCUGUCUUUGUCAAAGCCACUAAGAAGCUCUCAUCAUCAACGCAAACGGGAGGCAGAACUAGUGGUUGGUGAUGGGAACAGGCAAGCGAAGGGCGACAGCGCGAUGAUGGUGGAUGGUAGAGGGACAUCAUCAAGCAACAAUGGUGUGAGGGGUGAGAAUCAGGUGACUGCGAAUGUGUUGAUUGUUGAGAAAAGAGACCUUUGAGUUUGACGGAAUUAAAUUUCAGGAACUAAAGUAUUGGAUUAUAAAAAGAGUAGUUUGGUUAUUUUUUCUGUCACUAAUGAUAUUUUUUACGGACUGACCUCUGAUGUUGACAGUAUCAAACAUUAAGGACUAAAGUAUUGGGUCUUAAAAAUAAAUUCGUUAAUUAUACUACACUUCAAAGACGAAAAAGUAAUUUUUCCUUAUUUAAUAUACAUUUUAAUUACCUUUUUUAUUAUAUAAUAUUUAAUUAUAGCAUAUAUAUGUAACAAAUGAUUAAAUAUAUUGUAAAUAUAAUAAUUCACUUGUAAUUAAGAAUGAUAAAAUGAUUUAGUAUUUUUAUAACUAAAGUUAUUAAUAAAAAUAGAUAAAUAAUAAUGAUAGUAUGUAAGUUGUACAUAAUUAUAAUAUAUACAUAUUAUGAUAUUAAUGCAUAUAAAUAUAUAUAAUUAUGUUUAUAUAUAUAAUACACCUAAAAAUUAUAGAAAAGCACGUGUGUAAAAUCAGUGCAGGUCCGGAAUGGUCCACGGACGGUUUCGGUUGAGUUCUUAGUGAAGAACCAGAAUUGUAAAAUAAGUUCAGUUUGGUACAGAUCUUAAAAUUGUGGUAUGGUUCUUCAGUUCAUGAUCCCAAGAACCGUGCACAACCCUAUAUGAUAAUAUUCGAUAGGGCACCUUAUUAAAUUGGGGUAGUCCAGCAUUGCCUUUGCCUCUUGCUACCUGUCCUCUCCUCUCCUCACGUUUGAAUUCCAAUGCUGCAAUUCAUUUGUUCUGUGUUCAUGUCGCUUGUCCUUGUUAUUAAGGUGUAUUCUGUGAAAUCUUUGUUCAGUUUGGUAAACUAGGACCAUGUGCUCACUAAAUUUUGACGAUUGACGAAUCUACAAUGAAUAUCUCAUCAGUCAAAAUCUUAUGCUCAUACUGAACUUGUGAAUUGUGAUCAGGAUAAGAGUCUCUCUGCUUAUGUUUAUGUUCAGUGAUUUGCAUAUCCUGCCACUUUUUUCUGUCUCAUUCAGCUUGUCACCUAAUUGUUUGCAACUUGUUCAAAAGCUUAAAGAGUUGAGUUGGACACUGUUAGUUACAGUGUUGAAGGCCUUUGAAAUUUUUUUUUUUGUCAAAUAGAUAUAGAAGAUUCAUUAAAGAAAGUCCCAAGGCCUAAAUACAACAAGGUCCAUCGAGAAACAAAUCAAGGAUCAAAGGCCCAUACAUAUAAAACCACAAAACUUAGAUCCAAAAACCCGAAAAGGACCCGAUAUCCAACCCGGAAAAGGCAAGAAACGCCUCUUCAAACCUGAAAGCACCGUCACCGGCAAUAAAAAAUUGAAACUUGAAGCCAUCAGGAGAAGGCUUUUGAAUUUGGAAAUUGUCUGAUUUUCGCAUAGCUGAUAUGUGAGAACUUUGGAUUUGUACUUAGCUAUUUAUGGUGUUUUAGAAGUAAUAUUUCUACAGGGUUUUAUUCUUUGACAUUUUCCUUCUUUUCUUUUUUCCCUUUUCAGUGAUUAGGGAUUUAUUCUAUGACAUUUUUCCUCUUUACUGUUUUGGUUAAAAAUAAUAUACUUGUAAGCAUACUUAUAGUGGAAAAUGGAAAAUAGAUAGCUAAUUCAGAGAUGAGAUUGGCUAAUGCUUCUAUAGAAGGAUUAAUUGGCUAGUUAAUCAUUAGUGGUAGACUUGCCAUUUAUAGAUGAUUAAGAGCAAAGCUGAAGAGGUGCCAUUGUUUUGGGGCAGUGGCAAAAGUCUUUGUGUAAGUCCAUCUUAUUCUUAUGUUAAAAUUAGUGAAAGGUAAUGGCUUUGUUCUUUUCUUGGAAUGAUAACAUGGUAACAGCCAUUAAAUGGAAAGCUGGAGAUUGCAUGAUCUGCUUACUGGCCUCGCAAUUUCUCAUUGUUGGAUGAACUGGUCUGUUGUGCUCUGAUGUUUUGUGUUAUUUGUUUACUGUUGGACCUAGAUUUAUUGACUUAUGUAAGGAAACUAGGAAAAUCUAGAUAGUAAACUAAUAAGUCAAUUGUGAAGUAAAAGUAUACUGCUAGUCAGGGAUUUAGGUUCACCAGAUAAGCGAAUACACUGGUUUAACGUGGUUAAUAUCCAGAUUCACAUGCUUCAUGCUUGGUGCAUAAUUUAUUGUCUUGAACUUUCUGCUGGAGAGUGUGUAAUCCUAUGAGUUCUAGCAUGUGGUUUCAUUAAUAUUAUUCUUGUUUUAUUGCUAUUUUAAUAGGAAAAUUAAUGUCCUUUACUGGAUUUGAAUAGUCAGAAAAGCUAAUUUGAUCUGCAAGUGACUUUGAACUAAAUAUUUCUAUUGAUCUUGUUGUUUAACUCCUCAGGGGUGGGCAAGAGUUGCCUUCUUUUGCGAUUCUCAGAUGGUUCCUUCACUACUAGUUUUAUCACCACCAUUGGGUCUGUAUUGCCUGAACUAUGGGUUCAUACUGCAUUAUUUGCUUCCUCUUAGAUGAAUUCUCUGACUUCCCAAUAUCACUUCUCCUUGUGCAGUAUCGAUUUCAAGAUAAGAACCAUUGAGCUUGAUGGCAAAAGAAUUAAACUUCAAAUUUGGGAUACAGCUGGUCAGGAACGGUUCCGAACAAUUACAACUGGUAAGUUUCUGUUCUAUAGGUAAUGGUAUUCCAUUCUAACAAACGGGAGAUGGUGUUUUGGUGACAUCUAGUCUUAUUUGAGGUCGGUAAUAAUGCAUUGCACUUGCAAGGAAUUGAAUUGACAGUUCAUUUCUGAUAUUUAUGUUAUUCGCCUUGAAUAUUUCAAGUUGGAAUCAGUCAAUUUGAUAAUCUUAAUGAAUUUCAGUUUUCCCCUGAUUGGAGAAAUGGGCCUUUUCCUUUGGACUUUUGGGAAUGAGGGUCGCCUGGAAGCAGUUUAAUGGUUGAUUGUGAUUGCUCAAGCUCAGGUCCUAAAGGUUUUUCUUGUGUUAAAUACUAAGGUUGAACAAGGACUCUAGACAACCUAAAGAAAAUCCUUUGGCUACUUUCUUUCGAGAAACAGGCUUUCACAUUAGUAGUUAAGUGAAUGACUAAACCAUAGGCAUUUGAGAAACCUAGAAGUCUGAUGCUUGAAUGCAUUCUUUGUUUUAAAUUACAUUUCAUGGUAUUUCACCUAGUGCCAAUGCUGAGUGUAGAAAAUUGCCAACGUAAGUGAAUUAAAGGUUCCCGUCAGGCUAAUAAACUGUUCUAUGCAUUUAUGGGCCUGUCAGAAGGUUUAGAUCUAGAAAUUGUUAAUGUAAUUAUAUCUUUGUGGUGCUGUUUCCUGAAAGUUGUUUUCUUUGUUUCCUCCUCCAUUUGUUUCAGUGUCAUCUCUUAAUUUGUUCCCCCGCUCAUUCAUUCCUUACUGCUUUUGCAGCUUACUACCGUGGAGCCAUGGGUAUUUUGCUAGUGUAUGAUGUUACUGAUGAAUCAUCUUUCAAUAGUAAGUUUCUGUGCUCUUUAUCUGGUAGCUGUCAAAAUUACGAGUGUAAACUAAUUUUGCUUCACCCUGAUGUACGGUUUGGAUUACUUUUUUUUUUUCUCUAUACUUGUGCAUGCCUGUCUAGACCAUUCUCAUUUACACAGGUCCAUUUUCACUUACAAUGAGGUGAAUAGUUGAAGUUACACUAGGUUUAUUGAGCAGUUCACCUUUGGGUGUCCUUUUUUAUUUUUAUUUUUUCUCAUAAACAUGGCAAUGUAACCUUUUCAGACAUCAGGAAUUGGAUUCGCAACAUUGAACAGCAUGCUUCAGAUAAUGUUAACAAGAUAUUGGUGGGGAACAAGGCUGACAUGGAUGAAAGCAAAAGGGUAUUGCUAUGUUUUUAUAUUUAUUGAUUGAAAAGAAUGCUUAAAUGUCUCUUCAUUUUCGGAUUGUUUUAGUUGCAUGAGCUGAGUUGUUAAUUUUUCCAUCGAUGCAUGAGCUAGGUUGUUAAUAUAUUUAGAAAUUUAAGCAGUUAAUUUCUCUCUCUUGUUCGCACACAUCAAACCUUAUGGCUUAAAGUUCAUGUACCUCAAUGUUAUUUUCUUGAUAUUUUCUUAGGCUGUCCCGACAUCCAAGGGUCAAGCACUUGCUGAUGAGUAUGGGAUCAAGUUCUUUGAAACUGUAAGUAAUGCUCGCACAUUCCAAAGCUAAUUGCACAGUUUGGUUUUUUUAUUGAAAACUGUGAAUUGCAGAGUGCAAAGACAAAUUUAAAUGUUGAGGAAGUUUUCUUUUCCAUAGCAAAGGAUAUAAAGAAAAGGCUUGCUGAUACGGACUCGAAGGCUGAGGUAUUUUGAAUUUUUGUUUUCUUAAUAAAAGAAGAAGAGGGAAGAAAAAAGGAGUAGAAGAAGAGGAGGAAAAGUUUCUAAAUAUUAAUAUAAUUUCUUUUUAUUUAUAAUUAUUGCAGCCUACAACAAUUAAGAUCAAUCAACCAGACCAGGCAGGUGGGGCGGGUGAAGCUGCCCAAAAAUCAGCUUGCUGUGGUUCUUAAGAGCAAAUUAUUUUUAAUAGGGCAUUAAUUGCAGAUGACACUUAUCUAAAAAUGAGGGGAAGUUGAAAAUAGAAAAAAAAAAUUCUGAUAACAGGAUGCUGUGUGCUUGUAAUUUUUCUUUUUGUCAUUCUUUUUGAACCUGGUUUUAGUGUGUUAAGUGUAGGUUGUUAGACUACAUUUUUUAUUCUGACAGUGCGUCUCCUGUGGUACACUCUUUCUUUUGCCCUUCUUGGGCAACUAGUUUCUUCUUUGCUUUUGAUGUAUUGGAAAUAUUUGUUAGUUUAUCUGUAACGUAGAAGACGAUUACAGUUGUUUUUUAAGUAGAAUAUAUAUAUAUAUAUAUAUAAAAGUUCUCGAGUUUAAUCCUACUUUGCACGGCAAAAAAACCGUCACACUUGUCAGGUUCAAGAUGUAUUUAUGCCACUUUAGAUCUUAUACGUUUAGUUAGAAAUUGAACCUAGUUUAAUAGAGCUUACAUGUAUGCGUGAAAUUUUCAAAAUCCUAAGGAUAAUAAAAGUUGAACCUAGUUCAACAGAGCCAUGUAUGUGUUAAAUUCUCAUAAUGGUUUGCGAGAAGUAAAUGUGUUCAUUAUAAAGUCUUGGAUAGUCCUUUCCUCUUAUUCUGCUUCAGGGCGAGUAAAGUCAGGUCCAUUUUCAAAUGUUUGAUAUCAUAUCCGUGCUACAAAAACUACUUUUAUUUUCCCUCUAAAUAUGCAUUUAGAGAUAUCAAUGUUACUCUUUUUGAUAAAAGUCUGUUUGUAGACUUGGCCAUGGCCUCAAUUUCGAUCCAUUUUGAGGCUGGAACCGCGGGUUUGUUGAACUUUACAGUUUGAAUUGAUCUUGGUUCCCGUUUUGGUUCAAAAAUAUUAUUAUUUUACAAUUCAAAUUUAAUUUCAGUUUAGUUUGAUUCCGGUUUAUGAUUUUUUAAAAACACAACAAUAAUAAUAUUCUAUAUUUAGAAUAUAAAAAUUUUAUUAAAAUGUAUUUAAAAUACAUUAUUUAUUUAAUUUUAUAGUAAAAAAUUAAAAGAAAUCAAAUCAACUAUAUAAAUUAUUUAUUUUAUAAUAAGUGAAGAAAUUCUUUGAAACGGGCUGGUUUUAAUACUAGUUCGAGAGGGGGAGCUUGUAACUGCCCUCUCUCAAUCCAAUUUAUAUACUGAAAUCAUUUUAUUAUUCUAAUCUCGGAUUUGAGUAGUAUUGUUAUUAACUUGAUUAACUUUUGUAAACCCAUUGUAGCUAGGACAGACUUCAGCAUCUUCCAAAUCGUGUGAUAUAGAGUCCUAAUAUAUGCAUACUGGUCAUCCAUUCCAUGACGCAUGGUUUUUUCAGACAAAUUGACAGAUCUUCCAGUUUUGCCAAGGAGGUGAAUAGAUUGGACGGGAACUUGCGGAAAACCAGAGGAAUCCUCUCUGUAUUGCAAAAAAANNNNNNNNNNNNAAAGAAAAAAAAGAAAAAAAAAAAACGUGUACCUAAAAAAUGCUUUAACAAAGAAUAUAGAAUUAAGAAUCAUCAUUCCAAAAAUGAAUUAAAUCAAAUAAAUUGAAAAUUAAAAUUUUAGCAUUUAUAAAAAUCAAACUGAUUUUAAAUAAAAAUUAAUUUAAAUUGAAUCAAUUUGAUUCAGUUUGUUUCAAUUCAAUUUAAUUUAUUAAAUUUUUUAAUAAUUUUUUUUAUUUUAUUUUUAAUAUUUUAAAAUUUAAUUAAAAUAUUUUAAUUUUAAUUAUGAUAUAAUUUUCUUAUAUUAUCAAAAAUAAUAUAUUAUUACUCAUUAUUAUAAAUUCGAUUCGAUUUUAGUGAUUUUUUAAAUUUAAAUCGAAUUAAAAUAAUUAAUUUUUUUAAAAAAAUUAUAAAAAAUAAUAAUUUAAAUUAAAAUUUUAAAUUAAUCUAAUUCUAUCCAUUUUUCCAAUUUAAACCUAAUACUUUACACCCUUGUAUAGCACUACCAUUUUGCUUCUCCACUCCACAGUGUCUAUUCCUCUUUAUGACAGUGGUAAACUGAUCAUAAUUUUUAUUUUUCUUUAAUUUUUUUUAAUAUGUAUACUAAAAUUUUAUUUUUAUGUUAAUUAAUUUAUUAAAUGUUUAUAAAAAUAUAAUAAAAUACAAUAAAUUUUAAUUUUUAUAUUGAUAUCCAAUAAUCUAUUAUUUUAUUCAUUAUAAAUAAUGCAAAAAAUAAAUAAAUAAAUUAAAUUAAUUUUUCAAAACUUUACAUAAUUUGCAUUCGAAGACAACUUAAAUACAUUAAUUAUUAUUCAAUAUCGAUGUAUCCCAAUUAUAAUUCAUAUAUAUAUAUAUAAUAAAAAUAAUAAAUAUUUCACAUAAAAUUAUGGGUCAACUCUUAGAGUCAAGUCCAUAGAGAAAAAAAAAAGGGUACUUCGUCCCAAUGGAGAAAUCAUGAUGGGACCAUUUCAACACGAUGACCUCCACCUACCAAAUUUCUUAGAUGGGAUCCCUUAAAUGUACAGUUAUUAAUUAAAAUUUUCAAUUGAUAUAUUUUAAUUAAUUAAAAAAAUUAAAAAUUUAUAUAAUUUUAUAAAAAAAUAUUUAUUUUUUUUUAAAAUAAAUCAUACCAAAUAAAAAAAACUAUAUGAUUUUGAUUUAUUUAUUAAUUAAAGACAGUUGCAUAUAAGAAAUUUUCAAUUUCUUGGUGUCAUUUAUAUUCUGCAACAUUGCCAUUGCAUUUCACUAAUUCUUUUUAAAGAAAAAAAGCUAAAAUUAAUAAUAAUUAAUAAUCAUAUACAAGAUCAUAUAAUAAAAUUCAUACUACGUAUAAUAAAAAAUAAAAUAAAAAAGCCAAAUGUAUUUAUUUUUUAAAUUAAAAUAAAAUUCAAAAUAUAACUAAUAAAAAGGAGAUUUUUUUAUUUAUUUUUUAUAAUUGAUAAAUGAUAUUAUUAAUUUAUAUUUUAUUAUUAUGAUUUUUAUAAGUUUAAGUAUUUAAUAAAUUUAUUUUGUUAAAUAAUAAAUAUUUGGUUAAAAAUAAACCUAAAAUAAGCACAAGGGCGACAUAGUUUAUCUUAAAUUAUUGGAUGCUUUUAUAGUAUCACUUUAUUAUGCUAAACACAUCAAAUCAAUAGUAUUACAAAGAAAUUGUUAAAUAAUUUAAAAUUACUCACUAAAUUUACACUAUUAAUAAAAUAUUAAUGUUUAUUUAAAAAUUAAAAAUAAAUUUUAAUUUAUUAAAAUUUUACUUUUUAUUAUAAUUAGUUUGAAUUAUUACACGAUAAAUGAUAUGAAACUACCAUUUAAUUGGAUCGAUUUAAAAUUAAAUUCAAUAAUUAAAUUUUAAGUUUAAAUAUUUAUAAAAAUUUAAUUAAAUUAAAAAAAUUAAUUUAAAUUAAAUUAAUUUAAUUUAAUUUGGUUAGAUGGAUUAAAUUUUUAAUAAAAUUUUUAUUUUUUAUAUUUUAUUUUUAGUAUUUUAAAAUUUAUUUGAAGUAAUUGAAUUUUGGAUUAAAUAUCAUCUUUGUAUGUUAUCGGUUAAUUAAUUAAUUUGGUUUUAAAAAAUAUUUUUUAAUUAAAAUGGAAUGAAUUAAACUUUUUAAAAAUAAAAUAAAAUAUAAAAUAAAUAUAAAAUUAAACUAAAAUUUUAAAUUAAUUCAAAUCCAACAGGGAUGGUACUUCCUUAGCUUUAUUGUUACCGCCGCCGGAUCCUCUUGGCUGGAGCAAUACAUUUUCAGUUGAGAUUUCUGCGUAAUAUUUAAGAUUCAGCCUCCCAAACCAAAAGCAAUUACAAGCACACGACAAGACAAAUUAAAACGUCUUCUUCUCAAAAGCAUUUAGGUACUACCUUCACCCGAGCUUCUCCUCUUUUUCCAUCAAAUUUCUCCUCAAAACCCAAGAGACUACCCUCUACAAAACGCCAAACUAACACCAAUUCAUAUAUCUCCACAUCGAUUACUAGGAAUUAUCAUCAACCUCACCAACAAGAACGAAAAUUCCAAGAUGAAACAGCGCCACCAACAACGACAGAAGCCGCGGCCAGCUGAUCAUGAAGCUCCCCAACCCCAUGAUCGUCAUCAUCAGCAAGAACAUCAGAUUCUGUGCUGUCAACUAAUGCCAGAUCAGCAAACUACAAGUGAUAUUUCUGAUGAUCAUGCCGGAGAAUGGAUCAGUUCUUUGGAUUAUUCACGGCUCACUUCUUUCUUGGAAUUUGAUGACUCUUUCUUAUCACCCUGGAAUUGGAAUUCUGAUUUCCUUUUUGUAGAAAAUGGAGAGAAACAGCGUAUGAUGUUCCUACAGGGUUCUUUCUUCAGCCAUUACAGUUAUAACUGAACUUUGAUCUCUGUUUUUUUUUUUUUUUUUUUCCCCAAAGAUCUCAAUUAAUUUUCCAUAGUUUACGAUAGAGUAAAGUAGUCUCUAAAUUUCAGUGAAAACUAUAAAUUUCUUACACAGGCCAGGGAAGAAAAUUAUACAGAAUCAAAAUGCUAUUAAGGGAGUUAUUCCAAUUUCCAACCCUCAGCUAUUUAAUCUUAUACUCCCAUUCUAUAAUUUUUUAAAAUAACUUGAUUUAUAUUUAUAUUAAAAUUAUUAAAUUUUAUUAAAUAUCAAGACAUAUUCUAAAUAGUCAUUUGAUAAAAUAAUGAUUAAUAAGAAGUUAUUUUAAAAAUAAAAUAAAAUUAUAAUAAUAAAUUUAUAUAUUAUAAAAAUGCAAAAAAAAUGAAUAAUUAUUUUGAGAUAAAAAAGAUAGAUAAAUUAAAAUUAUGAGAUAGAAAAACCAUAUGAAAUUAUAAUAAUUAAAAUUGUCCAUGAAAUAUGUGAAUCCUAAUUAUAUCUCUCGUUAUAAAAAUUAUUUUUAAAAUUAUAAAAACUAAAUAGCUUACUUUUAAUAUAUAGAUUUUUCAAAAUAAAUGGUGACUUACUCUUUGUUAUAAUUGAAAUUUAAUCCAUCAAUUGCAACUUGGUUAAUCUAUCAAGAUUUUUUAGUUAAAUGAAAAGAAUAUAUAAGGUUAAAAGGCUAAAUUUGUCCUCCAAUAAAAUAGAAAAAAUUAAAAAUAUUAAAUUUAAUAUUUCGAUCUAAAUUUAUCAUUAAAUUAAAAAAAAUGCUAUACUACUAUAUUUUAAAAUUGUACUCUCUCCAUAUUUCCAUUAAAAUUAAUCUUGAAAUGAGUAAAAUUGUACUCCGUUAACAUUUCCAUUAAAAUUAAUUGUGAAACUCGUUUCAGCAAAAAAAACUUAAAUUAAUAAAGAUAGAUUCUAAUUAGAAUAAUAUUUAAAUUAAAAAAAAAAACAGAGAAAAAUAACCAUGGAAGCAACGAUGAAUAUCAAAUUCAAUGGGGCAAAUAAUUUUAUAGUUAGAUGGCGAGAAUUUUACAUCAACAACAAAUGGAAUAUAUAUAAAUCUGCAAAUAAUAUUUACCGAAACAAGUGAAAAAAAAUAAUUCAACCAAUAUUAAUACUGAAAUUAAUAAUUAUUCAUAUGUAAUUUAAGACUAUACUUUUAAGGAUUAUACAAGAUAAAGAAAUACUUUUUUUUAUUUAUCUCUCUUUAAAUUUAUAUAUUACUUUAAUUAUAAUUUUUAUUUGUUAAUUUAGAGAAUUUCUUGUACUGAAAUAUUUUUUCUAUUAAUUUUUAAUAAAAACAUAAACAGAAUAUAAUUAUAAAAUAUAAACGGAAUAUAAUUAUAAUAUAUUAUUUUAUUAAAUGGGAAUAUGGACGGAGUAUAAUUAUAAAUAUAUUAUUAAUAUAGGAUAUUUUUGUCAAAAAAAAUUAAGUGUAAUUAUGAAAAUGCAAAGUUUGGAUUUUUAUGCAUAUUUCUCAUAAGUUUAUUUAUUUACCUAUAUAUAUAUAUAUGCUCUUUGGUAGCAGACUAGGGUGGUAGGCGUCCAAUUAACAAGGACAAAGGAGAAGGAGGUGUGAAAUGACCGGGAAAAACUAAAGCAGCUUAGGAUUACUUUUGUAAGGCGUACGGUUUUUUAUUGUUCUGAAAAUCAAAAUUAAUUGAAAUUUUUUGUAUAACUUUACUUUGGUUUUAUAUAUAUAUUUAUAUAUAUAUAUAUAUAUUUAUAUUUUCAAUUCUGUUUGAUUUUCAGUGAUUUGAUUUUGAUUCAGUUUGGCUUUUGAUACUUUUAUUCUAAUUCAAUUCAGGUUUCUUUUUUAAAUAAUUAUAUGUAAUUCCUCAUAUAAAUCUUAUAAUUGCCAUUUAAAUUUAAAUUUAAAUUUGAAAUAGUCAUAUAAUAUUUAAAUAUGAGUUACUUAUAUUCUUAGCGAUUAAGUCAUCUAAAAUAUUAUAUAAAAAAUAUAUAUAUAAAUAUUUUAUAUUUUUAUUUUAAAGUAUAAUUUAAUUUAUUUCAAAAUAACAUAUAUAAUAUUUUAUUGUUAAUAAAUAUUGAUAAUUUUUUAACGUUAUAAAAAAAUAUUAAUAUAAUAAAUAAAAUAUAAUGCAAUUUUACUUAUUUUUAUUUUAAAAUUUAUAAUUUAAUUAAUAUUAAAUUAGUACAUCGUGAUUUUUAUAUUAAUAUUUUUUAUAUAGUCUAAAAUUACUAUUAUUUAUUAACAAUGCCAUACAUAAAUAUCAUAAAUUUUAGAGCAAAAAAAUUAAUAAUUAUAUAUAUAUAACUCCAAAAAAAUAUGAAUAAAAUUAGUUUUUGAUCCAGUUCUCUUUCAAUGCCAUUUUGAUAUUAUUUUAAUGAAAAACAGGGUAAAAAUAAAACAAAACUAAUUCAAUAUAAUUUUAAUUAAUUCAUUUUUUCAGUUUAAUUCAAGAAUCUAAAACCUAUACGUAGGGGUGAGCAUUCGGUCGGUUCAGUUCAAAAUCGAAUCAAACCGAAUAAACUGAAAAUUAAAAUUUUAGUGUUUAUGAAAAUCGAAUCGAACCGAUUUUAAUCAGAAAUCGAAUCGAACCAAACCGGUCUGAUUCGGUUCGAUUCAGUUGGUUUCGAUUUUUAAUAAUUUUUUUAUUUUUUACACUUUAUUUUUAAUAUUUUAAAAUUUAAUUAAAAUAUUUUAAUCUUAAUAUGAUUUAAUUUCUCUAUAUUAUUAAAAAAAUAUAUUAUUAUCACUAAUCGGUUCGGUUCGGUUUUUUCAGAUCAAAACCGAACCGAACCGAAAUAACUGAAAUUUCUGAAAUUAAAAACUAAACCAAAUCGAAAUGUAUAAAAAACCGAAUUAAAUUUUCAAACCAAUUCAGUUCGAUCAAUUUUUUCGAUUUAAACCGAAUAUUACUCACCCUACCUAUAUGUACACCCCUGUUAUUUUCAAUUUAAUUUAACUCAUCUUUUUUCUUUUAAAUAUAAAGUAAACUAUUUUAGCUCUUUUUUUUUGUUUUUAAAUAAAAAGUAAACUACUCUGCUUAGAAUAUAUACAAUAUUAUACAUAUAUUUAUAACGUCAGUAUAAAAUAAUGGGUUAUAUAGUAUAAGGUAAGUAACUUUCAUCCUUCCUUACCAUAAAAAAAUAAUUAAUAAAUUUUUAUGUUUAGGUUGCUUAAUUAAGAAAAUUGAUGAAUAAAGAAUUUUUUUUAAAAAAAAAUCUAUAUUUAAAAGAGAUUUUUAUUUUUAAAAUUUUGAUAAAAGUAAUAAAAUGUGAAAAAUUUUAAGGUUGUCGAUACAUCCACGCCUAUCGAUCUAACUAACACAUUUAAAAAAAAAAUCCGAAGUAAAUAUUAUUUUCAAUAAAAUUAAAAAAAAUGUUAAUAUAAAUAAUUGGCGUUCCGAUGGUUUAAUUCUUAAUUAAAAACAAACCUUACUAAAAUUUAAUUCAAUCAUAUAUAAAUUAUUUGUAGAAAUAUACAAUUUUAAAUUUGAGUCUCAAACAAAAUCAAUUAUAAUAAUAUAAUGUCAGCAUUUAUAUAUUAAUCGAUAGUGAUAGUGAAUGCAUUUAAAUAAAUCUCACCUUCAAUUUUUUAUUUUCAUUUAAAAAAUAUAUAAUCCCAAUUUGAUAAAUUUAAUAUCUUUUAAGGAAAUUUAGCCGUCUUGCCAUAAAAUAUUUACUUUCAAAUUCAAAUCAAUUGUAAAAAAUUCUAGGACUCGUUGUAGAAAAAUGAAUGAAUCGAUCUGUACACAAAAAUCUAACUCUCAAAUUGAAAGAUAGAAAAAAUUCUACGUCCAAAGUUGUAAUUAAUUAAACAUAACAAUUCAAAACAGGAGACUUCACCAUCUUCCCCAACUGCAACAUCAAGUCAUUCUCCACCGGCGUCAAGUUCAAAUCCAAGCACAAUACUCUCUUACUUGUCGAUUUCUUCAUCGUAACCGGCACCGGCAACAGAGGCCGAGUCACUAACCUAUCACUCAUAUUCUUAACAUUUCCUCUGUGUCUUCUCAUGUGACCUCCGAGAGCUUGUCCAAUAGGGAACUCAAGGCCGCAGAUAGAGCACUCGUGGGUUUUGGGUUUCGGCGGCGAACUGGGUAGCUUGAGCAAAUAAUCUCCGAUGAGUUUUGGUUUCUUAUGGCUUGCACGGUGGCCACCCAAUGCUUGAAACGAUGUGAAUCUCCGGUUACACGUCUUGCAUGCGAAUAAACGACCAGAGGGUUCAUCAGUUUGGCCAACUUUAGAGAUCAGCAUCAAGCAAUUGGCCAUAUCUAUGGCGGACUCAGAUUCUUCUCUGUCUCCCUUCAUAUUUAAAACCUAAUACAACAGAAGAAUAUGCAAAUAACGUGAAAGUGAAGAUUUUUUUUUUGGUUGAUUUUGAAUCUGAUGGAAGGAAGAGAAGGGAGUUUCGCGUGUUUAUAUAGAGGAGUUUCUGAGCUGGUGGAAUACGUCAGAGCUUAAGGCAGUGAAGUGUUGAAUUGGCAGAUUUGCCCUUGGAUUCGCGCGGACGAAGGCUCUAUUAUGGUGGGAAUUGGAUGGCAGUUUGUGUAAAUAGUGGAAAGUUAUUGGGUAGAGUGUAGCCGCCGUAGUUGUUACGUCUACGUGAACGCGUUGCUGACAGAACGUUAGCAAUGGCCCUAUGAGGCUAGUCUCCGUUGUAACCUGACAAUUCUAGAAUCCUUUUACUAUUAUUAGUAGGACUUGGGACUACAACCCCAAGCGUGUAAUCGGGCGCGUGCUUACAUUUACUGCUUUUUUUUUCAUUAAAUUUAUUUUAUUUUGUUAUAUAAUAUAUUUUUUACCGAGUAAUUAUCAAAUAAUAAAUUUUCUAAAAAUAUCAAUAUCACACGUAGACAAUAUAAUGUAGAACAUAAAGGGCAUUUAGGAAAUAAAAGAGAUAAGGAUUUUUUUUUGUUAAAUAUUAAUUUUUAACUAAUUAUCAAUAUCAAUCAUGAUAAUUUUUUUAGGAAAAUAGCUAAAAUUAUAAUAUAUUUUAUGAAAUAAUUUAGAUAUUACAUUGUAAGAUUACUAUAUAAUAAAAAUAUUACAUUCUAACUAAAAUGAAAAUUUUAAAAUUGGCAAAAAAAAGAAAAAUUAAAUAAAACUAAUUUCUAUUUUUUACUGAAACAUUAUUGAUCUUUAACUUUAAUUAAUACUUUUUUCAUUCAUUUAUUUAUCAAAAUUUGUUAAUAUCUUUUAAAAAAGAACCCUUAUAUCUUAUAAAUAAAUUCCCCUGCAGAAACGCAAAAGACGUAGAGAAAGUUGGGGAGUGUGACAAGCACAUGACUGAAAAGCGCGUGGACAGUUGACAGAGGGUUGAGAGUACAAAAAAGCACAGUGAGAAAGCGAGGGCAGUUUCCGAGGAGAAAUGACGAAGAAGAAAUAGAGAAAGGGAAGAGACGUGGUGAACAAGUAGCGAUAGUGGUGUCUUACUAGUAAAUCUACGCGCUCCAUUAACUCGCUCUUGUGAGCUGCCUCGUUUCACACCCUCAGCUUCCCAUCUCCCGCCUUUAAAUAUAUAUUAUAUAUAUAAAUUAAUUAAAAAAUAUCAUAUUAUCAAAACCAUAUAAAUUAUAACUAAAAUUAUAUUAUGAAUUAUUAAAAUUUUAAUAAAAUAACUUACUUUUUAUUUUUUAAUUUUAAUUUAAAAAAUAAAAUAUAUUAAAAAAUAAAAUAUAUUAAUAAAUUUAUAGAUAAAAUUUUAAUAAAAUUUUUAAAGGGUAGAAAAUGAUUCUUUUUUAAAAAAUAAAAUUAUAUUUUUAAAUAAUUUAAUUUUUUAAAUAAUAAAAAUAUUUUCUGUUAAUUAAUUUUUUAAAAUAUUUUAAAUAUUACAAAAUUUAGAAAAUAUUGUCCUUAAUUUUUUGUUUAAAACAAUCGAAGCCUAAAAUUAAAUUUUAAUAUAUAACGUUAAUAGGAGUAGUAGCUUUCACAAGUGAUGUUAUAUUUGACAAGUUAAUUGAAAACUCAAACAAUACCCUUUAUCUAGGAUGGACAAGUCCUCUCCCAGAAAUGCAAGACCAGCAACCCGAGACAAGUACGUACGGAUGGAAAAUUUGAAUUAUCUUGUCUUAUGAAAAAUCUUUUUUAAUUCAAAAAAGCAAAUUACUUUUUAAAAAAUGUCACUUUUGAAAUUUAUUAAUUUUUAAUACUUAAAUUUAUUUUAAACUCGAUUAAAAUUUAUUUUAAAAUUAUUGAAUUUAUAAUAAAAUUAUUAUUAUUAUCUAAAUAGUAUUUAAAUACGUUUUAUUUUAUAUAUUUUAAUUAAUAUCUCUAUUCAAUAAAAUUAAUUGUAUGAUUUUGUCAAAUAAAAACAAGUAAUAGGAAAACAGCCCAUUGAUUAAGGGACAGAUUGAGUUGGUAGGUUUGGAAUUUAUUGAUAAAUUGGUCGUCACAAUGUGGGCAACAUAAGAAAAGCAAUUGUUGUUACUUGUGAGUAUGUUUCACAUUAUUUCUUAAGUAUUUCAAUGCAAAUUUAAUUAAUUAAUUAGUUGAAGUUUGAAAAAGACUGAACCUUCUUCAGUUUCAGUAAAAGAAAAAAAAAACCGCCAACUUUAUACUGUUUAAAUAUUCGUAACAACUUUACAUACAUGUGUUGUUAUUUUAUUGGUCCGAUACAGCAGAUUCAUGCUGGCGACAUAGUAAUGUGUCUAUGUGCUUUCAUGAGCAUCAUAAUUGAUGGAAUUAGGUACACUGCCAUGUUUUUUAUUUGGGCGGCCGGAUUUUCUUUGAAAUUUUUAUUUUGUUAAUAUGGUGUUUUUCUCUUGAAUUUAUUUAAUAAAAUUAAAUUUGCAUCAAAUAAUUUUUUUUAAAAGAAAAAAAAAAAACCAAAGGUAACGUUUGUUUGUUAUUAGUAUUGAAGUAGUGAUGGUCAAGGAUGCAAAAAAUUUAAUCGAGGGCCACUUGUAAAAAAAAAAUAAAAAACAUUAUAUCAAAUAAAUAUGAAUAAAAAAGUAGACUACCUUCUUUCUAUUUUCUGAAUUUUGAAAAUUAAAAUAUAUAAGUUUUUUUUUAAUAUUUUUAUAAAAGAAAGGAAAAACAGAAGAGUUGGAGUUGAGGGAGAUCUAUUUGUUAAGUUAAGAAAUUGCAAGAAGUUAAAUUAGCUUUGAAUUAUAUGGGUAAAAAUGUUAAGUUUUUUUAAAAAAUUUAACAAUAAAUUAUUAUUAAAAAAUUAAAUAAAUCUAAAUAACAGCAAAUAAAUUGAACAGGUUGUAAUUUAUACUCUAACAUCAAAAUAAAUUUUAUUUGAUAUUUUAAUAAUAAUUUAAAAAAUUAAAAAUAAAAUUUAAUAUUUUGAACCUCACUCUAAAUAUUCAAAUACAUAUUUACACUUUACACUGGUAUACUAUUUCAUGAUAGUUUAUUAAGAAUUCAAACUAAAUGGGUAAUUUAUUGGAAAUCUAAACUUAUAAAAAUUAUAAUAAUUAAACACUAAUUGUAUUAUUAAUGAUUUAAUUUAUAAAAAACUAAAAUAAUAUAAUUUAUUAUUAAAUGCGCUCGAUAUUUUGCUGAUUAAAUUAUAAAUUUUCAUAAAACGAUAAAAUGACUCAUUUAAUUUGUCUAUUUAUAAGAAUUUAUUACAUACUUAACAAUGUAUUGAUUAAUUUUUAUUUUUUUUCUGAAAGAUUAUCAAUAACAUAGCUAUUAACAUAGCUAAUUAAUAAUUGUUAUAAUUUUUAUAAAUUAUAAUAUUAAAUAAGUUAAUAUUUUAAUUUAAGUGUUCAUUAGAUAAAUUGUAAUUAAUAAAAAUAUAUGAAUACAUAUUUCGUUUGUUUUUUUUUUUCAAAAAUGAAAAUAUCAUUAAAUAUGGACUAAAAAUUCAAGGAUUACAAGGUUUUAUAAACAAAAAGGCUCAACGCAGUCCAAUUCCAUCACCAAAUACCAGGUCCAAAGGGAAAGAAAACCCUAGAAACUAACCGGGUUAUCCAAACUCGACCCAAAGAAGCACAGGAAUUCUAAGGGUGCCGUUCAUCAUCCCAGAAGAGAAAACGAACGCUGAUCCUUUUUGAACUCAAUGAAAAUCGUUAACCGCCACUACCACGCCGCCAUGCCCCAGACUAAGAAGACAACAUCACCCAGAAAAACCUAUCUAUAGGGCACAUCAAAAUAGUCAAAUGGACAUAAAUGCCAGCUAUCAUAAAGUUGAAAAUGAAAAAAUAUAUAUAAAGAAUGCAUGGCGGCAAGCCGUUCUUCAAAUUUCAACUGAUACGUCAUGGAGUAUAAAAUUCACCACUGAGGUAAUGAUUAUAUGAUUAUAUUGAAAUAUCGAAGUUAAUAAUAUAUUAUAAACUAUAUAUUAUAUUUCAUGAUCUUAAUAUAAAAAAAUUAUUAUAUAUUUUUAUAUUUUUUAAUAUAUAAAUAUAUAAUAUUUUUAAUUAUAUUUUAUUUUAAAAUUCACAGAAAAAUAAAAAGAAUUUAAUUGCUAUGAAUAUAGUCAAAUUAAUUAAUGGGAACAUGAGAAUAACAGAACUUUUUAAUAAUAAGUAAUUCAUUAAAGUAUUCACAUACUUUAAAAAUUAUAUAUAUGAAAUUUUAAAUUACAAAAUUAAGUAUUUGAAAUUUUAAAUUAUAAAAUUAAUUAUGUGAAAUUUUGAAUUACGAGGAAUUAAAAAGAAUUUGAAUUAUUUAUUCUGAAUACUAUAUUUUGAAGAUAAGAAAAAAGAAACGAGAAAUAGUUUUAUUUUCUUAAAAGUUGCUACUGCAAUUCUAAUCAUGAUUUAUUUAUUUUUGAAAAUCAUAUAGGAGAUAUUUUAAUAUUUUUGGUAUCUUUUAUAAUUUUUUAUGGAUUAAGAAUUAAAUUAAUAUGAUUAGUUAUAGUUUUUAUUGUUCAAAUAGGAUUCUGAUGCGAAACUCAGAAUAACUCGUGAUAAAAAACCCCAAAUAUAUACUUGACAAUGAACAAGGUAAAGAUAUAUUUAAGAAGAAUGUUCUAUUACACCCUUAACCAACUAAUAUAAUUAGAAAUAUAGAUAAUCAAGUAAAUUUUAAUUAGAGAACACAAAAAAUUUUUUUUUAAUAAAUUAACUAAAUAUGGUGGAAAUCUAUAUUAAAAUGUAACAAAGUUGAUCCUUGAUAAAUUGCUAAACAUGGAGGCACAAAAGAAUUAAUUAUCUUUACAAUGGAGAAUAAUAUCAAAUCUUUAUUUAUUAACUUCCUCAACAUACAAAAUAAAGGCUAUUUAUAGCUAAAUAUCUCCUAAUCCUAAUUGAAAUAGAAAAACAAAAAAAAUUCUAAUUGAAAUAAAAAAAUAAAAUAAAUUUUAAUCGAAAUAGGAAAAUAAAAUAAAUUUUAGUUGAAAUAAGAAAAUAUAAGGUAAUCAUAUUUCAAUAAGAAAAACUAUAACUAAUUCUACUAAUUUGACUCAUAUUUUAAUAAGAAAAAUUAUUAUUAUUAUUAUUAUUAUUAUUAUUAUUAUUAUUAUUAUAUCAUUCAAAAACGCUAAAUUUUACUUCCCUGUGCUUCUCAACCAGACUACAUUGAAUUUAAGCUGCUUUUUAUUUUUAAUUUUUAUUUAAAUUAAUUUAAAAUUUUACAUUUUAAGUUUAAUUUAAUUAAAAACAAAAAAAAUGAGUUACUUAAUAGACUAAAUAAAGAAAUUAAGAAAUUUAAUCUAAAAAUUAAAUAAUUAAUAAAUCUGAUGAUCCGAGAUCCAAUGGAAUAAGGUUUUACAAGGGUUUUGUAUUACUGAAUAAGGCUUAAGCUUUCUGAGGAGGGGUCUCCUCUUUUAUACAUUAUCUUGCUUGCUGGUGACGUGUAAAGGUUUCUCCAGGAUUGGGCCACGCGUCUCUGCCAUCCGGAUUCGGAGGUACUAGGGUAUCAGCCGCCUGCUCCAUGCGUAACGGCCUCUGAUUCUCCUCAUGCGUACGUUCGAGCAGAUCUGCCAGGCUGUCUGGUGAAUAUCAUUCUGGAUCCUGGACUGGGCUGAGAGUUGGGCCGGAUGCUAAGCCUGAGUGGAGAGGGCCUGCUUCGUGCGGGCCGGGCCGGUUUGAGUGAGGAAGAUGGGUCGAGCCCGGCCUUGAAGGUUGGAUGAGCCAUGAUUGUUAUAUGUAUCAGGUGUGUNNNNNNNNNNNNNNNNNNNNNNNNNNNNNNNNNNNNNNNNNNNNNNNNNNNNNNNNNNNNNNNNNNNNNNNNNNNNNNNNNNNNNNNNNNNNNNNNNNNNNNNNNNNNNNNNNNNNNNNNNNNNNNNNNNNNNNNNNNNNNNNNNNNNNNNNNNNNNNNNNNNNNNNNNNNNNNNNNNNNNNNNNNNNNNNNNNNNNNNNNNNNNNNNNNNNNNNNNNNNNNNNNNNNNNNNNNNNNNNNNNNNNNNNNNNNNNNNNNNNNNNNNNNNNNNNNNNNNNNNNNNNNNNNNNNNNNNNNNNNNNNNNNNNNNNNNNNNNNNNNNNNNNNNNNNNNNNNNNNNNNNNNNNNNNNNNNNNNNNNNNNNNNNNNNNNNNNNNNNNNNNNNNNNNNNNNNNNNNNNNNNNNNNNNNNNNNNNNNNNNNNNNNNNNNNNNNNNNNNNNNNNNNNNNNNNNNNNNNNNNNNNNNNNNNNNNNNNNNNNNNNNNNNNNNNNNNNNNNNNNNNNNNNNNNNNNNNNNNNNNNNNNNNNNNNNNNNNNNNNNNNNNNNNNNNNNNNNNNNNNNNNNNNNNNNNNNNNNNNNNNNNNNNNNNNNNNNNNNNNNNNNNNNNNNNNNNNNNNNNNNNNNNNNNNNNNNNNNNNNNNNNNNNNNNNNNNNNNNNNNNNNNNNNNNNNNNNNNNNNNNNNNNNNNNNNNNNNNNNNNNNNNNNNNNNNNNNNNNNNNNNNNNNNNNNNNNNNNNNNNNNNNNNNNNNNNNNNNNNNNNNNNNNNNNNNNNNNNNNNNNNNNNNNNNNNNNNNNNNNNNNNNNNNNNNNNNNNNNNNNNNNNNNNNNNNNNNNNNNNNNNNNNNNNNNNNNNNNNNNNNNNNNNNNNNNNNNNNNNNNNNNNNNNNNNNNNNNNNNNNNNNNNNNNNNNNNNNNNNNNNNNNNNNNNNNNNNNNNNNNNNNNNNNNNNNNNNNNNNNNNNNNNNNNNNNNNNNNNNNNNNNNNNNNNNNNNNNNNNNNNNNNNNNNNNNNNNNNNNNNNNNNNNNNNNNNNNNNNNNNNNNNNNNNNNNNNNNNNNNNNNNNNNNNNNNNNNNNNNNNNNNNNNNNNNNNNNNNNNNNNNNNNNNNNNNNNNNNNNNNNNNNNNNNNNNNNNNNNNNNNNNNNNNNNNNNNNNNNNNNNNNNNNNNNNNNNNNNNNNNNNNNNNNNNNNNNNNNNNNNNNNNNNNNNNNNNNNNNNNNNNNNNNNNNNNNNNNNNNNNNNNNNNNNNNNNNNNNNNNNNNNNNNNNNNNNNNNNNNNNNNNNNNNNNNNNNNNNNNGAUAGUCGUAGAUGAGGAAGUAUCUGGAUAUGUAAAUUCUUUAAGGAUAGUCUUUCAUCCCGUAGUGUAGGCCUUUGUAACGUGCUGUAAUGUGCUUUUCUUUUAAUGAAGUUCUUGUUUUGCUCUCAUGCUUAAGCUGUUCUCUUUUUAUCAUGUGUGAAAUACUUCAGAUUGCUCGCCUUAUAGUUUUAACCAACUGAGCUCUGUCCUGCUUUUUCCCGAGCUAAUCUAACCUAUCUGCGAGCUCUGAUGAGUUGAACUCCGGAUCCACUUAGUCAACUGGGUUUUCAAGUUUUCGAACUGGACUGUCUGACCGACCUGUGAGCUCGGUCUUUAUUUCGAUGAAUUGAGCUUUGAGUCUCCUUCAUC